CAGUCGCCGCGGUAAUACGUAGGUUGCGAGCGUUAAUCGGAAUUACUGGGCGUAAAGCGUGCGCAGGCGGUUCGUUAAGACAGAUGUGAAAUCCCCGGGCUUAACCUGGGAACUGCAUUUGUGACUGACGGGCUAGAGUAUGGCAGAGGGGGGUAGAAUUCCACGUGUAGCAGUGAAAUGCGUAGAGAUGUGGAGGAAUACCGAUGGCGAAGGCAGCCCCCUGGGCCAAUACUGACGCUCAUGCACGAAAGCGUGGGGAGCAAACAGGAUUAGAUACCCGCGUAGUCCCUGUCUCUUAUAC
Molecule: ribosomal RNA, 301 nt
Filed under: uncultured bacterium
Lineage: Bacteria
Description: partial 16S ribosomal RNA
Rfam family: Bacterial small subunit ribosomal RNA
Source: RNAcentral